GCCUGGAGCCUGGGCGGCAUCUGAAAGAGGGGACCUGGGAAACGCGCUGGCGGCGGGAGAGGGAGGGAGGAUCCCGUACUGGUUAGUGCUGGACUGUGAGAAUCCCGCGGAUUCGGGAAUAGCUCAAGCGGGCGGGAGGAAUCUCGCUACUGGGCCGACGGGCGCUCACCAGGGUAGACCCUCAACCCUGCUGCUGAAGCCGAAACUCGGGCUCAAAGCGCCUGCCGCGCCACGCAGAUCUGCUGGCUCUGGAGGCUAGGGCUGCGCGUGCUGUGUAGGAGGAAAUGAAUGGCGGCCACGCGGGGGGCGCCCUGGCUGCAGGUGACGCGGGGAAGCCCGGAGCGCCUGAGGACGCGGCGCCAGUCUGUGGGUAUCCGGAGGCAGAUGGGGAGGGACAGAGGGUACGCCUGCCGUCGUUGCGGGGAAUCACGUGGCAGUUCUCGCUGCACCGACGCGAAGGCCCCCCUCUACUCUCCCUUACCCCCAGCUGGCCGUCAGCGGCAGCGUCACCUGCUUGCUAGCGCGCAGGGGCUCUGGCGCAAUCAUUGGCCUUGGAGGGGCGGGGAGGUCCCACACUCGGCGAAGGUGACGACAGCAAUGAUCUGGGUAAUAAUCAUCCUGUACAUUCUGUCCAUACCCGGGGCGGAGGGGUCUCCACUGUCUCCGAAGCGCUUUACCUCCUUCCCUUCAAAUCACACAGUUAGUGAAGCUGCCUGGUGCUGGGUCUCCUUCCUCCCACAGCUUCUCACCAAGAGCUACUCCUAGGGAUGCAGAGGCUAAUGCAAUGUUGGCUGCACUCAAGGACCAAGAUUGGGGGAGGGAGUAGUCCCAGAGAAUACCUCUGUGCAAGAUUCACUCAAGGCCCCAGACCUGGAGUCUCAUCCCUAUCAAGUCCUCCUCAGCUGUAUCCUGCUCUCUGGGAUGAAAGCCAAAGCUGGAGGUGGAGGCCCAGCUGAAUGAAAGGAGCCCUGAGACCUGGAAUGACAAGACACUGGAGCUCAGGGUCACUAGGAGACAGUCCAGAAAAUUCUACCCUCAUUGGAAGUUGUCUAGCAAUGGGUUCCAAUCCUGGCCCUGCCACUUUCUGUGUGACCUUGAACUUAAGGCUUUAUAAUUAUAGUUAAAAAAAAAAUACAUUCAUAGGAGUUGUUGUUUUCAAAACAUAAUAGAUCAUUAACACUGAAUAUGAAAAACAAAGUUCUUUCAAUUAUUUUAAUCUAAAAAAAAAUACAUUCAUUUUGGGGCACCUGGAUGGCUCAGUUGGUGGAGUUACGCGACUCUUGAUCUUGGGGUUGUAGGUUAGAGCCCCACUUUGGGUGUAGAGAUUACUUAAAAAUAAAAUCUGAAAAAAAUGUAUUCACUGUACCAUUAACAUUUCAGGAAAACACAAAGUUACGUGAAAACUUUAAUAUAUAUCCUUCUAAGCUUUUCCUCAUGUGUUUGCAUACUAUGCAUAUCUCUCUGAGCCUCCAUGUUCCAGUUUGAAGCAUUAGAGAUGAUAGAACCUACAUUAAGGACAGUUUUGUAGAUGAAAUCGUUGUCCUUAUGUGAGGUGGGUUGUCUCAGGAGGUAAUGAGCCUCCCUUCACCAAAAGUGCUAAAGGGACCAUAAGAGUUCUUGCUAAGGAUGAGAUGAGAAUGCUUUUGGGGAAUUGAAAUUAUUCUCUUGUCUAUCCCCAGAAUGAAAAGAUUGGAGGAAUAACAAUUUACCUUGGAAUUCAUUUGGUUAGCUCCUUCUUAAAUAAUCUUAUUCCAGUUCCUUCUGUGUGUGCCAGGUCAUGAUUAAAGCAAAAGACCUAGGUGCAAAAUCAGAAUGAUACUGCAUUAUAUAAGCUACAGUUAUGUUAUAAAAAUGUUGGGGGUAUCAUUUAAUUUUUUUAAUGUUUAUUUAUUUAUGAGAGAGAGAGAGACAGAGCACAAGAAGGGGAGGGGCAGGGAGAGGGAGACAGAGAAUCCAAAGCAGACUCCAGGCUCUGAGCUGUCAGCACAGAGCCAGACGUGGGGCUUGAACUCACAAACCAUGAGAUAUGACCUGAGCUGAAG
Neofelis nebulosa (Clouded leopard) is the source of this 2042-nucleotide long non-coding RNA. RefSeq lists it as uncharacterized. Lineage: Eukaryota; Metazoa; Chordata; Mammalia; Carnivora; Felidae. The record is from RefSeq and is a predicted model, not a curated record. The transcript is spliced from 2 exons.